CUUAUAUUAAAACAAAACAAUUUUGGCCACUUGGCAUUUGCUUAAACCUCUUUUUGCCACCUGUCAACUUAAUAUUCCACACAAUUCUUCUUUGGGCGGCAAUAUACAUCGAUCACUUCCCAUGUUUCUCUUUGAUUGUACCGCCUUUGGCUUUUAUUGGCUUUUAUUGUACAGCCGUUUCAAAACCAAUGCUCCAUCCUCCAAUCCAUCACCAUCUUCAAUUGAAUACUAGCAAUCAAAAUCGAUGAAGGAGGAUUGGUAUCAAGAACCCUAGAUCUAUUAAUAAUUAUGGUUGUUUUUGAAGCCCUAGAUAUCGCAUACAUCUUACUUCUGGUUGAAGCCUCUUAAAUCUAAACAUUCAAGCAUCAGGUACAAUCAUCUCAUAAGAAAAUACGUUGCAAUUUGAAGGUCUAUUGUAACCUUAAACAUCUCAUACGAAGAUUUCUCAGUUGCUUCUACUGUUAGGAUGUUUGGAUUGUUGUUUUGGUACUGAUUGUAUCUAUUAAUAUGUUAAUUAAUCGAAUCAAUGUUUUUGUUGCAGUUGGUGGCGGAAAAUCUUGCGUGCUAUGAACAUUGAUUAGUAUAUGAUGCAUGUGUUAGGGUUUUACGGUGUUUUUCAUUCAUUUUCUUUGUGUGUUUAACUAUUUAUGUGAAUCGUUGAUUGGCUAGGGACAUAUGUAGGCUGAGUAAUUGGUUUUUGACCUAAUUGUUUUUUUUAUGCAUUUAUAGAGUGAUUUUUGUCAUUAAGAAUUUGAAUUACUGGAAUUUAAUAAUGGCUGACUUUGAAUUCAGUAGUUUUUCAUUAGAUGUGAAUGUAAUACAGUAACAUGAAACCAUGAUUGGAGGUUGGCUGAGUGAAUUGUUGGUACUCCAUUCUGAGCCGCAACCGACAACCACUCAUCUUGGCAUGGUGCUGAUGCACAAGCUCAUUUUUGAGUCAUUCCAUUGUUUAUGUGAUUAUACUCUAUUUAAAUAUGUUUUAACUAUUGGUAUUAGAAUGAAUGAGAGGUAAAAUUACUAAAAAGUAUGCUGAUUAAGGAGAUUCAGUUUUUGUAGAAUUUUGUAAUUGCUUAGAAACAUAAGUUUAUUACUUUAACUGUUUUAGUUUGUUUCUUUGACACUAAUCUUUUUGCAGUUGUUUUCCUUAAUUUAGUAUGAUAAUGCAAACAUACUUAAUUAUACCUUCUAAUAAAGGCUAGAAUGUUGAAGCUUUAAUAGACUGGUCUGAGCAAAGAGCACAUGAAGAAAGUGAAAGAUUGAGGCGGGUAGUCGGUUGCGGUUUAGAAUUAAAUUGAUGGUCUGAGCAAAGCUUGGUUUGUAUUUCAGUUUUUUGUUUUUAGUUUUUAAAAUUAAAGUGAUGAACUUAUUGAUUCUGUUUUUUAAUACUUAACUAAAUACUAGCGUAGCAACUUGGUGGGUCGAUGCGGGUUGGGUUGAAAUGGACCUGGCUUUGUUGACCCACAACCAUGAAUGUGAGUUAUUUUUCUUAAUACAGUUAAUGUGUUAUUUAUUAUUACAAACACAUUAUUUGUACAAUCAUGAUCCUAAAUAAAUGAUUUACGAGGCUAUGAUGCUAUAGAUCUGAAAUAGUGAACUUAUCCUUUUCUGUUUUGCUCUGAUACUACAGAUCUAAAACAGUGAUGUUAUCCUUUUUUUUGUUUUUUGCUUAGACCAAACACAAGAGGUUGGUUAUUAGGUCGAAACAGGUCAUUUUUGUGCAAGUCAAAUUAGACUGGUGAGGUUGGUUGGGUUGACCCUUUCAACCCACAACCACAUUUGAAUUAUUUCUUAUAAGCAAUUAAUUAAAUUAAUUAUGAUUUGUCUAUUAUGGUUUUUCAGUAAUUGUUUAUUCCUAUAGAUGCUUUGUGUUGCUACUAAGCCAGAGAAGAAGAAACUUGAACUCCUGUUCCUUCGUUGGAGCGAGCAUCACAAAAAACCUGCAGUUUUUGAAGUUUGGUACUCGUGCAAGAAUGCUUCAAUCACAUCCACCUCCUAAAGCGGUAAAAUUUAACCUAUCUAAAAAGUUCCAUUGGUUGGGGAGUAGUUAGCUGCAUAUGAAGAAGAUCGAGAAAAGAUUACAAAACAAGGCUUUAAAAGCCAAUCUUGUGAAAUAAGAGGAGUCGAAAGCUGUAGAUGAUGCUGAUGUUAGCAAUACUGACCCAAUGCUGAUUGAUGGCUAUACAAAAGUGGAUGGUGUGCAAAAAUGAUUCUUUCCAUUUACGAGGAAACGUAUAUGUGGUGUAAGUCAUUGGAUUCAGCUGUGAUGGCUUACAAUUCAAUACAUGGUUGUAAUUUUGCUAGCACACAGGUAUGAUGUGCUUUUGAAUCUGUAAGUUGAUUUUGCUCUUAAAAAAAGAACCACUCUUAUCUAUAUACUCUCAAAAGUGAUUUCCAUA
Long non-coding RNA from Helianthus annuus (common sunflower), 2396 nucleotides. RefSeq lists it as uncharacterized. The transcript has 4 exons. The record is from RefSeq and is a predicted model, not a curated record. Lineage: Eukaryota; Viridiplantae; Streptophyta; Magnoliopsida; Asterales; Asteraceae.